RNAcentral lists this transfer RNA (71 nucleotides) under Geochelone elegans (star tortoise). RNAcentral describes it as "tRNA-Thr". The record is from RNAcentral. Lineage: Eukaryota; Metazoa; Chordata; Testudines; Testudinidae.
CUAAACCCCGACCCGUGAUUAUUAAUCCUCUCAUCUACAUGACUAACAUACAUUACCAUUCUUCAACCAAA